This 878-nucleotide ribosomal RNA is filed under the name uncultured fungus. Its description in RNAcentral is "eukaryotic LSU rRNA". The stretch from base 432 to 585 matches the Rfam family "5.8S ribosomal RNA". The record is from RNAcentral. Lineage: Eukaryota; Fungi.
UCUUGGUCAUUUAGAGGAAGUAAAAGUCGUAACAAGGUUUCCGUAGGUGAACCUGCGGAAGGAUCAUUAAAGAAAUUUAAUAAUUUUGAAAAUGGAUUUUUUUGUUUUGGCAAGAGCAUGAGAGCUUUUACUGGGCAAGAAGACAAGAGAUGGAGAGUCCAGCCGGGCCUGCGCUUAAGUGCGCGGUCGUGCUAGGCUUGUAAGUUUCUUUCUUGCUAUUCCAAACGGUGAGAGAUUUCUGUGCUUUUGUUAUAGGACAAUUAAAACCGUUUCAAUACAACACACUGUGGAGUUUUCAUAUCUUUGCAACUUUUUCUUUGGGCAUUCGAGCAAUCGGGGCCCAGAGGUAACAAACACAAACAAUUUUAUCUAUUCAUUAAAUUUUUGUCAAAAACAAGAAUUUUCGUAACUGGAAAUUUUAAAAUAUUAAAAACUUUCAACAACGGAUCUCUUGGUUCUCGCAUCGAUGAAGAGCGCAGCGAAAUGCGAUACGUAAUGUGAAUUGCAGAAUUCCGUGAAUCAUCGAAUCUUUGAACGCACAUUGCGCCCCUUGGUAUUCCAGGGGGCAUGCCUGUUUGAGCGUCAUUUCCUUCUCAAACAUUCUGUUUGGUAGUGAGUGAUACUCUUUGGAGUUAACUUGAAAUUGCUGGCCUUUUCAUUGGAUGUUUUUUUUCCAAAGAGAGGUUUCUCAGCGUGCUUGAGGUAUAAUGCAAGUACGGUCGUUUUAGGUUUUACCAACUGCGGCUAAUCUUUUUUUAUACUGAGCGUAUUGGAACGUUAUCGAUAAGAAGAGAGCGUCUAGGCGAACAAUGUUCUUAAAGUUUGACCUCAAAUCAGGUAGGAGUACCCGCUGAACUUAAGCAUAUCAAUAAGCGGAG